This is a long non-coding RNA of Neopsephotus bourkii (Bourke's parrot), 1164 nucleotides long. RefSeq lists it as uncharacterized. The transcript is spliced from 4 exons. The record is from RefSeq and is a predicted model, not a curated record. NCBI's taxonomy places the organism in Eukaryota, Metazoa, Chordata, Aves, Psittaciformes, Psittacidae.
UUCACAAAAUGCCACAGUUCAGGGUGUGCCUGGUAUGUACAGUCAAGUCACUGGUACCUGAAAAGAUUUAGUGAAGCACCAAAGUUUGAAACAAAAUAGCUGAGUAUACACUGAAGCCCUCCUUUUAAGUCCUCUGGGAAAUCCAAUUACUCUUUUAACAGUCAUUAUACAUGCCUAAAUAUCUGUCCUGUUACAUGUAUUACAUAUGCACACCAUCUGCCUGCAAGUGAACAUCUGUGAGCCAGGUUCUGGCCUGCUGGUAAAACACACUGUGAAAAAUCAGGGUGGACUUUUCUGCAUUAUGAGAUGUAUAUCAACCAGUUCAUCCUCACUGCUGCUUGGUUUAAGGCUGCCUAAAUUGCAUGUAGAGGCAUCAACAGCACCAGGACUGGUACAAAGCACUUACAUUGGUGAUUGCUCUGUUUUGACACCAGAAAGGGGAAAAAAGGACAACCAGAAAACAUUAGAGUGACCUCUACAAUAUUCAAGGCUCUAGAAGGCAUUUUAAAGAAAACGUGUAUGCAGAAGGCUGACUGACAAGCCUAGUGGUAUCCAGGCUAAAACCUGCUAGAUUUGGGAGCUUACUAAAGUAAAAUGGUGGUGUAACUAAGGCAUCCCUGCAGCUGCCAGAGCACUACAGAGUGGACUAUUCUUUGGUUUUCAGGGCUUUUUAUGAAGGCCCACGAAGGUGACCUUCUAAAGAGACAAAAGAUUUCUUCUGAAGGGAUAAUUAUUCCAUUUCUUAGACAGAGGAAUAUAAGGAAACAAUCAGACUUGGAUGACACACUGAUCCUUAUUUCCUACAGACUGAUGGAGCAUCUUCCACAGAAGGCUUUUAACAUAGAUCUAUUUGUUCUAGAUAGGGAUUUUUAAACACUUUGUCACUUAUUUGGGGAAAUGGUCUGUGUGUGUUUAUGUCUGUCUCAUUCUCUUCUCAAUACAUUUUAUUUCCUCCUUAUAUGGAAGACAUUAAUGCAAAGAACUGUUCUGUGUUUUGUUUCCUUGCUAGGGUUCAUGUCUCUCCUGGUACUUCUGGUACUCAUGAAAUAACCACAUCACAGACUUUCCAGUUUAAUCACUAUUGCUUUUCUCUUAAAUAAAGAUCUUGUUACAGUAACAUACAGCCAUUGUACUAAUAAAGUUUCUGUUGUUAAUAUUUAAGAA